UGGGGAAUCUUCCGCAAUGGACGAAAGUCUGACGGAGCAACGCCGCGUGAACGAUGACGGCCUUCGGGUUGUAAAGUUCUGUUAUACGGGACGAAUGGUACGACGGUCAAUACCCGUCGUAAGUGACGGUACCGUAAGAGAAAGCCACGGCUAACUACGUGCCAGCAGCCGCGGUAAUACGUAGGUGGCAAGCGUUGUCCGGAAUUAUUGGGCGUAAAGGGCGCGCAGGCGGCGUCGUAAGUCGGUCUUAAAAGUGCGGGGCUUAACCCCGUGAGGGGACCGAAACUGCGAUGCUAGAGUAUCGGAGAGGAAAGCGGAAUUCCUAGUGUAGCGGUGAAAUGCGUAGAUAUUAGGAGGAACACCAGUGGCGAAAGCGGCUUUCUGGACGACAACUGACGCUGAGGCGCGAAAGCAUGGGCAGCAAACAGGAUUAGAUACCCUGGUAGUCCAUGCCGUAAACGAUGAUUGCUAGGUGUGGGGGGUCUGACCCCUUCCGUGCCGGAGUUAACACAAUAAGCAAUCCACCUGGGGAGUACGGCCGCAAGGUUG
This 549-nucleotide ribosomal RNA is filed under the name uncultured bacterium. RNAcentral's name for it is "bacterial SSU rRNA". It matches the Rfam family "Bacterial small subunit ribosomal RNA", at positions 355 to 896 of the family's 1533-position model. The record is from RNAcentral.